This 17-nucleotide transfer RNA is filed under the name Trithuria submersa. Its description in RNAcentral is "partial tRNA-Leu". The record is from RNAcentral. Lineage: Eukaryota; Viridiplantae; Streptophyta; Magnoliopsida; Nymphaeales; Hydatellaceae.
GCCUUGAUGGUGAAAUG